UACGAAGGGGGCUAGCGUUGCUCGGAAUCACUGGGCGUAAAGGGCGUGUAGGCGGGAAGGAAAGUCAGAUGUGAAAUCCCCAGGCUCAACCUGGGAACUGCAUUUGAAACUCCCUUCUUGAGUACCGGAGAGGAAAGUGGAAUUCCUGGUGUAGAGGUGAAAUUCGUAGAUAUCAGGAAGAACACCAGUGGCGAAGGCGGGUCUCUGGGCCGAUACUGACGCUGAGGAGCGAAAGCGUGGGGAGCGAACAGG
This 252-nucleotide ribosomal RNA is filed under the name uncultured bacterium. Its description in RNAcentral is "partial 16S ribosomal RNA". It matches the Rfam family "Bacterial small subunit ribosomal RNA", at positions 524 to 776 of the family's 1533-position model. The record is from RNAcentral.